GACGAACGCUGGCGGCGUGCUUAACACAUGCAAGUCGAACGGAAAGGCCCUGCUUUUGUGGGGUGCUCGAGUGGCGAACGGGUGAGUAACACGUGAGUAACCUGCCCUUGACUUUGGGAUAACUUCAGGAAACUGGGGCUAAUACCGGAUAGGAGCUCCUGCUGCAUGGUGUGGGUUGGAAAGUUUCGGCGGUUGGGGAUGGACUCGCGGCUUAUCAGCUUGUUGGUGGGGUAGUGGCUUACCAAGGCUUUGACGGGUAGCCGGCCUGAGAGGGUGACCGGCCACAAUGGUACUGAGAGACGGCGCAGACUCCUACGGGAGGCAGCAGUGGGGAAUAUUGCACAAUGGGCGGAAGCCUGAUGCAGCAACGCCGCGUGCGGGAUGACGGCCUUCGGGUUGUAAACCGAUUUCGCCUGUGACGAAGCGUGAGUGACGGUAAUGGGUAAAGAAGCACCGGCUAACUACGUG
This 468-nucleotide ribosomal RNA is filed under the name uncultured bacterium. RNAcentral's name for it is "partial 16S ribosomal RNA". It matches the Rfam family "Bacterial small subunit ribosomal RNA", at positions 28 to 507 of the family's 1533-position model. The record is from RNAcentral.